GGGGCCGCACCCUCCGCACCAGCACCUGGGGUCGCCCCCGGCCCCAGCAGCCCUGAGGCACCGGCCUCCCAGGGGUGCCACCGCGGACGCGAUCGUUGGCGAAGCACUCGGGACAGUCGUACUGAAGUUGCUCCUCACCCCACACUAGAACGGCCCCAUCCCUGUGAUGCCCCAGAGUUGGGGGGGGCUUGCUCCCCCUCCAAGGAGGGUGCCACCACCUGGGCCUGAGAGCGAGGUGUUAAAGCUUCUGGAAGGUAAGGCCGCCCCUGGGCCUGGGGGUGGGCAUGGGCGUUCCUCCUGCCGGCCUGACCUGCACCCCAGCAGAGUCCUGGGUCCUGCCCUCCCCACUCCCCCGCGCCCCUGAGGCAGAGCAGCAGCCCUGGACCAGUC
Long non-coding RNA from Condylura cristata (star-nosed mole), 390 nucleotides. RefSeq lists it as uncharacterized. The transcript is spliced from 3 exons. The record is from RefSeq and is a predicted model, not a curated record. Lineage: Eukaryota; Metazoa; Chordata; Mammalia; Eulipotyphla; Talpidae.